GAACUGCGAUAAGUAAUGUGAAUUGCAGAAUUCAGUGAAUCAUCGAGUCUUUGAACGCACAUUGCGCCCCCUGGCAUUCCGGGGGGCAUGCCUGUCCGAGCGUCAUUGCUGCCCUCAAGCCCGGCUUGUGUGUUGGGUCGUCGUCCCCCCCGGGGGACGGGCCCGAAAGGCAGCGGCGGCACCGUGUCCGGUCCUCGAGCGUAUGGGGCUUUGUCACCCGCUCGAUUAGGGGCGGCCGGGCGCCAGCCGGCGUCUCCAACCUUAUUUUUCUCAGGUUGACCUCGGAUCAGGUAGGGAUACCCGCUGAACUUAAGC
RNAcentral lists this unclassified non-coding RNA (315 nucleotides) under plant metagenome. RNAcentral's name for it is "partial contains 5.8S ribosomal RNA, internal transcribed spacer 2, and large subunit ribosomal RNA". The stretch from base 1 to 105 matches the Rfam family "5.8S ribosomal RNA", at positions 50 to 154 of the family's 154-position model. The record is from RNAcentral.